AAAAAAGCAACAAAAAACAAAAAACAAAAAAACAAAAAACAAAAACCAAUAUAAAAAAAACAAAAAUCAUUUUGAUGUCUGCUAAUUUUUUCAUAGUUGCUAAUCCACCAAAUUAUCCUGUAAAGCCUCUUGGUAAAUGCACCAAGCUUGAUUAAACUUUUCAAAACAUUUAUUUUUAACUGAUAUCUUCUUCUCCAAAAUAUAUAUGAUGAUGCUUUAUUUUUUCAAUCAAUGCUGUUAAACUUAAUUCUCCUUUAAAAUAUCGUGUAUUAUAUAUAUAUUGUUUAAUCCAGAGAAAAAUAUUGUUUUGAGGGUCACCUUUGUACAUUCGUGAUAAAUUUCCAACAAAAAAAAUAUCCUGUGUAAAUGGUAUACUAAUACCGUUAUGGAGAAACCACAUUUCAGUUUGCUCAAUAAAUUGUUGUACAUAAUAACAAUCCCACAGUAUAUGUUCAAUUGAUUCAAGUUCAGUCUUACAAAAAGUACAAUAUGGGUUUUGCACAAUCCCAAUUUUGUUUAAAAACGUAUUUGUUGCCAGAAUUUUAUGAUUAAUUCUAUACUGAAGCCAUUGUAGCUUAGUAUUUUUUGUAAUAGCAAAUGGUAGUUGAAAAAUCUUUUUCCAGUUUUGAUUUUCUAAAACUAAAAUUGCUUCCCAUCUUUUUACUCCUGUAGGAACAGUGUUGUUUUUGUUUAGCACCAAAUACAUAUCUUUAGAUCCCUUUUUGCUUUUGAGAAUGGUCUUUAUAACUGAUGGUAUGAAAGGAGAUACUAAUUUAUAAUCUCCCCUUUUAAUUUUUUUGGAAGUCUUAGUUAGCAUAGAAAUUAUGCUAUUAUAUUUCAUGAUGUCUAUAUCCAUCUGAAAACACUCCUGAAAUUGAUAAAAAUUUAGAAAGGUACCAUUCUCCCCCACAAUAUCAUUUACAUAUAAAAUACCCUUACUAUGCCAGUCUUUGAAAAAAACUGGUUUGUUGUCAAUUUGGAAUAGGUUAUUCAUCCAAAUUGGACUGGAAAGAAAAUAUUCCCAGUCGUGCAAAUUCAUUUCUUUUUCAAUUACCAUUUGCCAAGCACCCAGUACAUCUUUCCAAAAUUUAUUCUUAAUACUUUGCUGUAGUUGCUUUACAUAGCUAUUACCACAACUAAAUAAUCUAUCUUUAUCAACAUAUGACAAAAAUAUAUUUCGCCAUUUACAAUCAUUUCUACAAAUUCUUCUAAUCCAAGUACAUUUCAAAGCAUUUAUAAAAGCAUGUAAAUUAAUCAUUUUUAAGCCUCCAUCACAAUAAUCUUUUUGUAUUACAUCUUUUUUCACUCUAUGAACUGGUGAGUUCCAAAUAAACUUAUACAUCAGUUCAUUUAUCUGUUUAAUAAUAUAUCUUCACUUGGAUUAGGUAGUGACAAUAUUAAAUGAUUUAAAAUUGGCAACAUAAGUGUCUUUACAACAGUAAUUCGACCAAUAACAGUAAUGUUACGUCUAGACCAUUGUUUGACUAGUCUUUUUAUUUUUACAAUAUUUUCAUCAUAAUUGAUUUUAACUAGUUUUUCUAAAUCAACAUCAAAAUUAACACCCAAUAAUUUAAAGGAUGUGCUUCCCCAAGUAAGAUUUUGAUUUGUACAAAGUGUCUCUGUG
RNAcentral lists this long non-coding RNA (1624 nucleotides) under Mytilus galloprovincialis (Mediterranean mussel). Lineage: Eukaryota; Metazoa; Mollusca; Bivalvia; Mytilida; Mytilidae. The record is from RNAcentral.